This 253-nucleotide ribosomal RNA is filed under the name uncultured bacterium. RNAcentral describes it as "partial 16S ribosomal RNA". It matches the Rfam family "Bacterial small subunit ribosomal RNA", at positions 524 to 776 of the family's 1533-position model. The record is from RNAcentral.
UACGUAGGGGGCAAGCGUUGUCCGGAAUCAUUGGGCGUAAAGCGCGUGUAGGCGGUUCGGUAAGUCUGCUGUGAAAGUCCAGGGCUCAACCCUGGGAUGCCGGUGGAUACUGUCGGACUAGAGUACGGAAGAGGCGAGUGGAAUUCCCGGUGUAGCGGUGAAAUGCGCAGAUAUCGGGAGGAACACCAAUUGCGAAGGCAGCUCGCUGGGACGUCACUGACGCUGAGACGCGAAAGCGUGGGUAGCAAACGGG